RNAcentral lists this ribosomal RNA (269 nucleotides) under uncultured bacterium. RNAcentral's name for it is "partial 16S ribosomal RNA". It matches the Rfam family "Bacterial small subunit ribosomal RNA", at positions 85 to 354 of the family's 1533-position model. The record is from RNAcentral.
UGUUAAGUUAGUGGCGGACGGGUGAGUAACGCGUGGGUAACCUGCCGUAUACCGGGGGAUAACACCUGGAAACAGGUGCUAAUACCGCAUAAGCGCACGGGACCGCAUGGUCCAGUGUGAAAAACCGAGGUGGUAUGCGAUGGACCCGCGUCUGAUUAGCCAGUUGGCAGGGUAACGGCCUACCAAAGCGACGAUCGGUAGCCGGCCUGAGAGGGUGGACGGCCACAUUGGGACUGAGACACGGCCCAAACUCCUACGGGAGGCAGCAG